RNAcentral lists this ribosomal RNA (95 nucleotides) under Shigella flexneri. RNAcentral's name for it is "partial 16S ribosomal RNA". It matches the Rfam family "Bacterial small subunit ribosomal RNA", at positions 1 to 92 of the family's 1533-position model. The record is from RNAcentral. Lineage: Bacteria; Pseudomonadati; Pseudomonadota; Gammaproteobacteria; Enterobacterales; Enterobacteriaceae. RNAcentral also lists the same sequence under 1 other name.
AAAUUGAAGAGUUUGAUCAUGGCUCAGAUUGAACGCUGGCGGCAGGCCUAACACAUGCAAGUCGAACGGUAACAGGAAGCAGCUUGCUGUUUCGC